Molecule: ribosomal RNA, 2927 nt
Filed under: Staphylococcus aureus
Lineage: Bacteria; Bacillati; Bacillota; Bacilli; Caryophanales; Staphylococcaceae
Description: bacterial LSU rRNA
Rfam family: Bacterial large subunit ribosomal RNA
Source: RNAcentral
AGAUUAAGUUAUUAAGGGCGCACGGUGGAUGCCUUGGCACUAGAAGCCGAUGAAGGACGUUACUAACGACGAUAUGCUUUGGGGAGCUGUAAGUAAGCUUUGAUCCAGAGAUUUCCGAAUGGGGAAACCCAGCAUGAGUUAUGUCAUGUUAUCGAUAUGUGAAUACAUAGCAUAUCAGAAGGCACACCCGGAGAACUGAAACAUCUUAGUACCCGGAGGAAGAGAAAGAAAAUUCGAUUCCCUUAGUAGCGGCGAGCGAAACGGGAAGAGCCCAAACCAACAAGCUUGCUUGUUGGGGUUGUAGGACACUCUAUACGGAGUUACAAAGGACGACAUUAGACGAAUCAUCUGGAAAGAUGAAUCAAAGAAGGUAAUAAUCCUGUAGUCGAAAAUGUUGUCUCUCUUGAGUGGAUCCUGAGUACGACGGAGCACGUGAAAUUCCGUUGGAAUCUGGGAGGACCAUCUCCUAAGGCUAAAUACUCUCUAGUGACCGAUAGUGAACCAGUACCGUGAGGGAAAGGUGAAAAGCACCCCGGAAGGGGAGUGAAAUAGAACCUGAAACCGUGUGCUUACAAGUAGUCAGAGCCCGUUAAUGGGUGAUGGCGUGCCUUUUGUAGAAUGAACCGGCGAGUUACGAUUUGAUGCAAGGUUAAGCAGUAAAUGUGGAGCCGUAGCGAAAGCGAGUCUGAAUAGGGCGUUUAGUAUUUGGUCGUAGACCCGAAACCAGGUGAUCUACCCUUGGUCAGGUUGAAGUUCAGGUAACACUGAAUGGAGGACCGAACCGACUUACGUUGAAAAGUGAGCGGAUGAACUGAGGGUAGCGGAGAAAUUCCAAUCGAACCUGGAGAUAGCUGGUUCUCUCCGAAAUAGCUUUAGGGCUAGCCUCAAGUGAUGAUUAUUGGAGGUAGAGCACUGUUUGGACGAGGGGCCCCUCUCGGGUUACCGAAUUCAGACAAACUCCGAAUGCCAAUUAAUUUAACUUGGGAGUCAGAACAUGGGUGAUAAGGUCCGUGUUCGAAAGGGAAACAGCCCAGACCACCAGCUAAGGUCCCAAAAUAUAUGUUAAGUGGAAAAGGAUGUGGCGUUGCCCAGACAACUAGGAUGUUGGCUUAGAAGCAGCCAUCAUUUAAAGAGUGCGUAAUAGCUCACUAGUCGAGUGACACUGCGCCGAAAAUGUACCGGGGCUAAACAUAUUACCGAAGCUGUGGAUUGUCCUUUGGACAAUGGUAGGAGAGCGUUCUAAGGGCGUUGAAGCAUGAUCGUAAGGACAUGUGGAGCGCUUAGAAGUGAGAAUGCCGGUGUGAGUAGCGAAAGACGGGUGAGAAUCCCGUCCACCGAUUGACUAAGGUUUCCAGAGGAAGGCUCGUCCGCUCUGGGUUAGUCGGGUCCUAAGCUGAGGCCGACAGGCGUAGGCGAUGGAUAACAGGUUGAUAUUCCUGUACCACCUAUAAUCGUUUUAAUCGAUGGGGGGACGCAGUAGGAUAGGCGAAGCGUGCGAUUGGAUUGCACGUCUAAGCAGUAAGGCUGAGUAUUAGGCAAAUCCGGUACUCAUUAAGGCUGAGCUGUGAUGGGGAGAAGACAUUGUGUCUUCGAGUCGUUGAUUUCACACUGCCGAGAAAAGCCUCUAGAUAGAAAAUAGGUGCCCGUACCGCAAACCGACACAGGUAGUCAAGAUGAGAAUUCUAAGGUGAGCGAGCGAACUCUCGUUAAGGAACUCGGCAAAAUGACCCCGUAACUUCGGGAGAAGGGGUGCUCUUUAGGGUUAACGCCCAGAAGAGCCGCAGUGAAUAGGCCCAAGCGACUGUUUAUCAAAAACACAGGUCUCUGCUAAACCGUAAGGUGAUGUAUAGGGGCUGACGCCUGCCCGGUGCUGGAAGGUUAAGAGGAGUGGUUAGCUUCUGCGAAGCUACGAAUCGAAGCCCCAGUAAACGGCGGCCGUAACUAUAACGGUCCUAAGGUAGCGAAAUUCCUUGUCGGGUAAGUUCCGACCCGCACGAAAGGCGUAACGAUUUGGGCACUGUCUCAACGAGAGACUCGGUGAAAUCAUAGUACCUGUGAAGAUGCAGGUUACCCGCGACAGGACGGAAAGACCCCGUGGAGCUUUACUGUAGCCUGAUAUUGAAAUUCGGCACAGCUUGUACAGGAUAGGUAGGAGCCUUUGAAACGUGAGCGCUAGCUUACGUGGAGGCGCUGGUGGGAUACUACCCUAGCUGUGUUGGCUUUCUAACCCGCACCACUUAUCGUGGUGGGAGACAGUGUCAGGCGGGCAGUUUGACUGGGGCGGUCGCCUCCUAAAAGGUAACGGAGGCGCUCAAAGGUUCCCUCAGAAUGGUUGGAAAUCAUUCAUAGAGUGUAAAGGCAUAAGGGAGCUUGACUGCGAGACCUACAAGUCGAGCAGGGUCGAAAGACGGACUUAGUGAUCCGGUGGUUCCGCAUGGAAGGGCCAUCGCUCAACGGAUAAAAGCUACCCCGGGGAUAACAGGCUUAUCUCCCCCAAGAGUUCACAUCGACGGGGAGGUUUGGCACCUCGAUGUCGGCUCAUCGCAUCCUGGGGCUGUAGUCGGUCCCAAGGGUUGGGCUGUUCGCCCAUUAAAGCGGUACGCGAGCUGGGUUCAGAACGUCGUGAGACAGUUCGGUCCCUAUCCGUCGUGGGCGUAGGAAAUUUGAGAGGAGCUGUCCUUAGUACGAGAGGACCGGGAUGGACAUACCUCUGGUGUACCAGUUGUCGUGCCAACGGCAUAGCUGGGUAGCUAUGUGUGGACGGGAUAAGUGCUGAAAGCAUCUAAGCAUGAAGCCCCCCUCAAGAUGAGAUUUCCCAACUUCGGUUAUAAGAUCCCUCAAAGAUGAUGAGGUUAAUAGGUUCGAGGUGGAAGCAUGGUGACAUGUGGAGCUGACGAAUACUAAUCGAUCGAAGACUUAAUCAAAUU